This is a long non-coding RNA of Ailuropoda melanoleuca (giant panda), 1081 nucleotides long. RefSeq lists it as uncharacterized. The record is from RefSeq and is a predicted model, not a curated record. NCBI's taxonomy places the organism in Eukaryota, Metazoa, Chordata, Mammalia, Carnivora, Ursidae. The transcript has 3 exons.
GUUAGCCUUCACUUCAUCUUCCCCGACACCCCGCUGUGUAACAGACCACCCCAAAACCGGUCCGCUUUGAACAUUUCAUGACUUUGUGGAUCAGGAAUUUGGGCAGGAUUCACCUUGAUGGUUUUUCUGUUCCCUGUGCCCGGAACUGAAGUCAUUCGGUGCGUUCAGCUGGUGCAGGGCAACUCAGAGGUCCUGGAGACUGUUCCGGGAGACGAGAGGUGGAAGCUUCUAGGCCUGCAGUUUCUUCUCUGAAAAUAAAAGCGUGUCGUCGAGGCUAUGGUCUCAGACUGCGUCCAGCCCCGAGGGCCCCACACUAGAUGAACAGCUGAGGAAAACAGGAGAAAGAAGAAAAGAUGCUGGCCAGAGGCUGCGCCCUCUUUCAGCAAGAAAACCAGAUCCCACUUCAGUGUGCUCGCCUCUCUCCCUGUCCUUUAUUAUAGGUCCUUACAGCGCAUGCGCAGCUCAUCGUUUGAGGGCUUCUCGAAAACACAUCCUACGGUUCUAUCCCUCGGGACUCCUGGCACAUUGCCAGGCAUACUGAUGGGCAUCCAGCAAAUUCUUCGUAAAGCCGUAUGGCUGGCUGGAAGAGAGUUGAGAGAGAAGCUCAGUUAUUUUUCUGGUGAAAGAGGUACAAAAAGGAAGGGAACUGGAGGGAGUAUAGCCUUCUGUACAUUUGGGUAGAAAAGCGGGUACUGACAGCAUUUCCGAGCAUCAAAGCUCAGCCUGUCUUCUGUGCUCCAAAAGCCUCUGUUCAAAGGGACCACAAGGGCAGCCCAAGGUUUCUGUGUUCACUCAACCUCCCUCCUGAAUCUUGCAAUCUGGCAUCGUUCAGUGGGUUCACGACCACCCACAGCCACUCAGGGAAACCAUAUCCUCUUCCUUGAAACUUUCAUAUGGCCUUUCUCCUGCUAGGUCAGUGCCCAACGAAAGUUGAAUUUCCAGUUUGGAAGUGAACACAUGGCCAUGUGAUUUCAUACAUUCUUCCCAGCAGAACUGGAAAAGUCUUUCUUCGGAAAUACAUAACUGUGCUGGGAGCCACAAUCUUGGUUUAUCAGCAGAGAAUAGCAGGGAUUAAAAAAAA